This 21-nucleotide non-coding RNA is filed under the name Caenorhabditis elegans. The record is from RNAcentral. Lineage: Eukaryota; Metazoa; Nematoda; Chromadorea; Rhabditida; Rhabditidae.
UUAGUGAAACAUUCACGGUUU